This 825-nucleotide ribosomal RNA is filed under the name Rahnella sp. SYC8. Its description in RNAcentral is "bacterial SSU rRNA". It matches the Rfam family "Bacterial small subunit ribosomal RNA", at positions 36 to 855 of the family's 1533-position model. Lineage: Bacteria; Pseudomonadati; Pseudomonadota; Gammaproteobacteria; Enterobacterales; Yersiniaceae. The record is from RNAcentral.
CUGGCGGGGGCCUCCAAUGCGCUCGAGCGGUCGCGUAAGUGAGCUGCUCCUUUGCCGGCGAGCGGCGCCCGCUGGAGUAUCUCAUGGCGUGUGCCUGGUGGAGGGGGACUUUACUGGAAACGGUAGCUAAUACCGCAUGACCUCGAAAGAGCAGAGAGCGGGAUCUUCGGACCUCACGCCAUCGGAUGUGCAAGAUGGGAUUAGCUAGUAGGUGAGGUAAUGGCUCACCUAGGCGACGAUCCCUAGCUGGUCUGAGAGGAUGACCAGCCACACUGGAACUGAGACAUGAUCAAAACUCAGCGGGCGGCGGGGGUGGGUGGUAUUGGGGCGUGGGCCUGAUCCUGAUGCGCCCAUGCCGCGAGUGUGAACAUCGCCUUGUGGAUGUAUUUAACUUUCAGCGAAGAGGAAGGACCCACACUUAAUACGUGUGGACAUUAUUUUUUACUCGCAGAACAAGCACCGGCUGUGCCCGUGCCCGCAGCUAAUACUAAUACGUGAGGGCGUUACGUUAAAUUACAGUUACGGGGCGUCGCGCGCACGCAUGCGUUUUGUUAAAUCAGAUGUCACCUCCCUCAGCUUAGCAUGUGAACUGCAUUUGAACCUGGUAAACUAGAGUCUAGUAGAGGGGGGUAUCAUGCGAAGCGUAGCGAUGAAAUGAGUAAAGAUCUAGACAAUACCCGAGGGCGACCACCUCCCCCUGAUCUAGACUGACGCUGCGGUAGCGAAAGCGAGCAGAGCAGACUGGAUUACAUGCCCUGCUAGUCCGCGCAGUAUGUGAUGUCGACGUGGAGGUUGUUGGCCUUCAUACUUGCCUUCUGGAGCUAU